GAUGAAUGCUGGCGGCGUGCUUAACACAUGUAAGUCGAACGAUGAAGCCGGAGCUUGCUCCGGUGGAUUAGUGGCGAACGGGUGAGUAACACGUGAGCAAUCUGCCCUUGACUCUGGGAUAACUGCGGGAAACUGUAGCUAAUACCGGAUACGACACCUUGGGGCAUCCCAGGGUGUGGAAAGAAUUUCGGUCAAGGAUGAGCUCGCGGCCUAUCAGCUAGUUGGUGAGGUAAUGGCGCACCAAGGCGACGACGGGUCGCCGGCCGGAGAGGGUGACCGGCCACACUAGAACUGAGACACGGUCCAGACUCCUACGGGAGGCAGCAGUGGGGAAUAUUGCACAAUGGGCGAAAGCCUGAUGCAGCAACGCCGCGUGAGGGAUGAAGGCCUUCGGGUUGUAAACCUCUUUUAGCAGGGAAGAAGCGAAAGUGACGGUACCUGCAGAAAAAGCACCGGCUAACUACGUGCCAGCCGCCGCAGUAA
This 483-nucleotide ribosomal RNA is filed under the name uncultured bacterium. Its description in RNAcentral is "partial 16S ribosomal RNA". It matches the Rfam family "Bacterial small subunit ribosomal RNA", at positions 28 to 523 of the family's 1533-position model. The record is from RNAcentral.